UAAGCCUGUGAAGGUGUGUCGUGAGGCAUGCUGGAGGUAUCAGAAGUGCGAAUGCUGACAUAAGUAACGAUAAAGCGGGUGAAAAGCCCGCUCGCCGGAAGACCAAGGGUUCCUGUCCAACGUUAAUCGGGGCAGGGUGAGUCGACCCCUAAGGCGAGGCCGAAAGGCGUAGUCGAUGGGAAACGGGUUAAUAUUCCCGUACUUGGUGUUACUGCGAAGGGGGGACGGAGAAGGCUAUGUUGGCCGGGCGACGGUUGUCCCGGUUUAAGCGUGUAGGUGUGUGUUCCAGGUAAAUCCGGUUCACUUUAACACUGAGGCGUGACGACGAGGCACUACGGUGCUGAAGCAACAAAUGCCCUGCUUCCAGGAAAAGCCUCUAAGCAUCAGGUAACAUCAAAUCGUACCCCAAACCGACACAGGUGGUCAGGUAGAGAAUACCAAGGCGCUUGAGAGAACUCGGGUGAAGGAACUAGGCAAAAUGGUGCCGUAAC
Molecule: ribosomal RNA, 491 nt
Filed under: Salmonella enterica
Lineage: Bacteria; Pseudomonadati; Pseudomonadota; Gammaproteobacteria; Enterobacterales; Enterobacteriaceae
Description: partial 23S ribosomal RNA
Rfam family: Bacterial large subunit ribosomal RNA
Source: RNAcentral